Molecule: long non-coding RNA, 1376 nt
Organism: Lycium barbarum (goji berry)
Lineage: Eukaryota; Viridiplantae; Streptophyta; Magnoliopsida; Solanales; Solanaceae
Exons: 2
Source: RefSeq, a predicted model, not a curated record
GUAAAGUCAUUUUGUAGAGUUUCAUUUUUUUUUCUAUACUAUAGCAGCCGCGUUCUUUCCCUUCCCAUUUCAAUGAAAGUGCUUUAUUUCUAUCAACCCUUAGCAGGUUUUGUCACACCAUUUUAGGAAAACCUUGUACCUCUUUCCUAUCUCCCUAUAUCAGCAUCCUAUAAACGUUUCUCUCUCUCCUAUCUUCAACGAUUUGGUUAACAUAAAUGGCCAAAACGAUUUUGAAGUUUCUGGCAAAAAUCAACUUUUAGAAAUUCGAUUUUGAUUUCAAACGGCUAAUUCAUGUAGAAUUUCCACCCAAGAACUUUAACCCUAGAAAACUCUAGCUUCUUUCUCCUAUAAAUACAACCUUAUAUCUUCAGCAAAGGGAAGGAAUUUUUAGCUGCCACUUGACACCUUGAAAAUACUCUCAUCGUCCUUCAAAGCUUUCUUUUCUUUCUAGGUAAACUUUAUCCACCACAAAGGUAUUCGAACUUAUCCGACUCUAGUUUCGAAUCUGUUCAUAACGAAGAGAGUAGAUUCGAGGCCCCGAUGUCCUAAGUUCACUGCACCCACAAGAGAACUUAGGACAAGACAUUGUGAUGAGAAGAGCUUGUGAUCUUCAGUUGUACGGAUGGUGUGAUUCGGACUGGGCUGGAUGUCCGUUGACUCGAAAAUCACUUAUCGUUUGGUUUAUCUCCCUCGGGAAUUCACCCGUAUUAUGGAAAAUCAAGAAGCAACACAUUGUCUCUCACUCGUUAGCGGAGGCAAAAUAUCAAUCAAUGGCAAUGACGAUCAGUGAGUUGAAAUGGCUAAAGGGAAUUUUGCAUAGUUUGGGUGUUGAACAUACAUCUCCGGUAAAAAUGUAUUGUGACAGUCAAGCAGCAUUGUAGAUUGCGCGAAAUCCUGUGUUUCAUGAACCGACCAAACACAUUGAAGUCGAUUGGCACUAUGUCCGGGACGCGCUGCAGUCCGGAAUCAUACCUCCCAGUCAUGUGCCUACUAAUGAGCAAUUGGCUGAUGUGUUUACAAAGGCUUUGGGCAAAUCGCAGCAUCAGUAUUUACUUGGCAAGUUGCGCAUUUGAGAGCCUCAUGCUCCAACUUGAAGGGGCGGGGGGGGGGGGGGGGGGGGGGGGUAUUGAGACCGAAUGUGACCGGACCAGUUGAUGUGUCGGUAAAAACCUUAGGUCAGUAGGAACCCUAUUCUAGUCUAAUUGUAAUAGGUUGAUUUUAUUUAUGAUGAAUUUCUAAUCAUGGUAAUAUAAGAUUUGUAGUUUUAUUGGAAUAGGGUUACCUUAUUUGUCUAGGAUAAGGAGGACCUUACUUGUAUAUAAGGAGAUCAUUAUGAUGAAUGAAAAGCAGAAAAAAUUCUUCCAAUUUUAACAGAA